Molecule: RNA transcript, 1909 nt
Organism: Nymphaea colorata (pocket water lily)
Lineage: Eukaryota; Viridiplantae; Streptophyta; Magnoliopsida; Nymphaeales; Nymphaeaceae
Gene name: probable protein phosphatase 2C 44
Exons: 6
Source: RefSeq, a predicted model, not a curated record
GAGAGAAAGUAGUCCAUUUUGGUUAUGCAAACAUUGGAUUUGACUAGAUGAUGGAACUAUAAUUACGGAAGUUGGGGAGAGGGAGAGAGAGGGUCAAACGCAUGUGAAGCGUGUGAAGCUUCAAAGAAGCUGAGCGCGGGUGGAGACGAUCGACCGCCUACACGACUUUUAGGCCCCAACUCGUGGAACAACGACAUGGAUGCUUUCCUUUUACUCAAUUUUCCUCCCCCUCCUCCUUUUGAAUUUUGUUAUAAAGAGUUGGGUGGGUGCUUCCGCGUUCAUUCUUCUUCAUCUUCGUUCUUGAUUGCUGAGGGCGCGGUCUUACGAGUUCAAGAACGAGGGUGCGCUCUUACAAGUUUGAGGAUUGUCCGGGUUUUGGCUUCGUGGGUCUUUAUGUUACUGCCAUGGAGAGGCAAUCUGGCGCUUCCCUCUCUAUAAGAACCGAGCUUCUUAAUAUGAUCAAGAAGGGUACAUGUUUGAAUGCAUCAUCCUCCGACAGUGGGAAAGGGAAGAGCAAAUACUCAAGUAACAAAGUAACACAUGGAUUUCAUCUGGUUGAAGGAAAAGCUGGUCAUGACAUGGAGGACUAUCAUGUUGCAGAAUACAGGGUUGUAAACAGUCGUGAGCUUGGGUUGUUUGCAAUUUUUGAUGGGCAUCUUGGUGAUAGUGUUCCAAGCUAUCUCCAGGCAAACUUGUUCAACAAUAUAUUACAAGAGCCCAAUUUUUGGACAGAUCCUGUUUCAUCCAUCAAAAUUGCCUACCACCUCACAGACAAGUAUAUUUUAGAAAACCCUACACGUUUAGGUCCUGGUGGAUCCACUGCAGUUACUGCGAUUGUAAUUGAUGGACAACUAUUACUAAUAGCAAAUGUAGGUGAUUCUAGAGCUGUUCUAUGUGACAAAGGCUCAGCUGUACAGCUUACUGUUGACCAUGAACCACGUACUGAGAGGAAAAGAAUAGAAAAACGAGGUGGUUUUGUGACUGUUCUUCCAGGAGAUGUUCCAAGGGUCAAUGGUCAGCUUGCAGUUGCACGUGCAUUUGGUGAUCAAAACCUUAAAGCACAUUUAAGUUCGGAACCGGAUGUAAAACACAUCAGUUUGGACCAGGGAAUCGAGUUCGUUGUAUUGGCCAGUGAUGGCUUGUGGAAGGUCAUUGAAAACCAAGAAGCUGUUGACUUGGUCAGAGCAAUUAAAGAUCCUCAAGCUGCAGCAAAGCGCUUGACCACUGAAGCACUGAACAGAAAGAGCAAGGAUGACAUCUCAUGCAUUGUUAUUCGUUUCAGACGCUAGCAUUCUGUAUUUUGAAUGUUCUGCAGCUGCCAUAGUUCUAUUGAAAAAGAAAGUGAUCAUCCUUCCAGUUACCCUUGGGUUUCUCAUUUGAACGGAGUUCAGUGGGUCCGCUUGAUGGCAGUUUGUGUUCUAGAGUCUAGAAUACACAGGCUUGAGUUCUGACUCUGGUUCAAUCAGUGGAAUCCGUAAAAUUGAUCGCAGUGUUAGAAGCCUAGAACUGAACAACUAUCAUACUUUCAUCUAUUAUUGUGCCUGAAGAAUAGAAAUGUGGAAGCUGAAGUGGGCAAAAGAUGCAUGAUUCAUGGUUCAGUGGGAAUCAUACAGGUUAUGUAGAAAGUUGACGCAACUUUCACCAUUUUUUCGUGUAAUUGAAGCCCAACUAUCCAAAUGCUCAUGAUACUGAUUAGUUCUGUUGCAAGGCUAGUAUUUUAGCCUAUGAAUAGAUCGGUCAAUUCUUCUAAUUUAUGUAAAAGGUGCAUUUGUCAAGUGUAUGUGAGAGGAUAAUCGCCAUUUUAUCAUCUGUCAUGUCUCUCUACAAGAGAGGAACGACUGAAAGGACUUUGAUCAAGUGGUUCACUUCUGCUGGUUAAGUGAGACGGCUUUUUUCAAUAUCGAUAUUC